AUAUGCCUUUUGGUGGGGGACAACAGUUGGAAACGACUGCUAAUACCGCAUAAUGUCUACGGACCAAAGUGGGGGACCUUCGGGCCUCACGCCAAAAGAUUAGCCCAAGUGGGAUUAGCUAGUUGGUAAGGUAAUGGCUUACCAAGGCAACGAUCCCUAGCUGGUUUGAGAGCAUGAUCAGCCACACUGGGACUGAGACACGGCCCAGACUCCUACGGGAGGCAGCAGUGGGGAAUAUUGCACAAUGGGCGCAAGCCUGAUGCAGCCAUGCCGCGUGUGUGAAGAAGGCCUUCGGGUUGUAAAGCACUUUCAGUAAGGAGGAAAGGGUGGUCUUUAAUAGAGGCUAUCUGUGACGUUACUUACAGAAGAAGCACCGGCUAACUCCGUGCCAGCAGCCGCGGUAAUACGGAGGGUGCGAGCGUUAAUCGGAAUUACUGGGCGUAAAGCGUACGCAGGCGGUUUGUUAAGCGAGAUGUGAAAGCCCCGGGCUCAACCUGGGAACUGCAUUUCGAACUGGCAAACUAGAGUGUGAUAGAGGGUGGUAGAAUUUCAGGUGUAGCGGUGAAAUGCGUAGAGAUCUGAAGGAAUACCGAUGGCGAAGGCAGCCACCUGGGUCAACACUGACGCUCAUGUACGAAAGCGUGGGGAGCAAACAG
This 656-nucleotide ribosomal RNA is filed under the name uncultured bacterium. RNAcentral describes it as "bacterial SSU rRNA". It matches the Rfam family "Bacterial small subunit ribosomal RNA", at positions 124 to 775 of the family's 1533-position model. The record is from RNAcentral.